GACCCAUUGUCCAUUUCGGUUUUAUCAUCAUUUUUCUGCAGUAAUCUCGUUUUUACUUUGAGUUUCUUGGAUUGGAGGAUGAAAAUGGAGUUGUUGUCAAGUUUGGUAGUGAAAAAGGCUUAAGUUGGUGCAUGGGUAUUGUAUUCUUGAGCCAUUUUCUUCUAGCAUUUUUUUUUUGAUGUUGGGAAACAAAUUUGGAGCUGGACUUUGUGCUUGAUGAUGGUGGCAUAGGGGUUUGGUUUUGUUUGGGUCAAAAGGUUGAAGAAAAGUGUGUUUUGAAGUUGGAUUUAUGAAGGUAGAACUUGGUUUUAUUGUUCUUGAAUCAUUUGGCAAUUGAGCUUUGGGUUCCUUGGAGUGUGUUCAAGGUUUGGAGAUGGAAGAAACAAUUUGGAUGUUGGUUUGUUGAAGAAAAAAACNAAUUUGGAGUGGAGAAGGAAGAGAGAAGGUGUAAUUAAUUUUUUACCCGAUUUGGCCAACCACACAUGGAGCUACCUUUGACUAAGGGAACAUUUCCUCUUUAAGUUNUGUCUUAAAGCUUGUUUCAGCCGUGAAAUGCUAAGGGAAUGAAGUGUUUGUUGUUUUUUUUCCUUGGGUUUUGCUUACUUGGCACAUUGGAAGUAGCAUUUGAGGUUGAAUUGGUUUGGAAGCAAUUUCUCUUGUAACCCUUUGCAUUGUUUACGUGAAUUGCUUGGCUUGGUGUGGUUUCCAUUUUAUUUUGCUGCAUGCAAGGAGUGGUGGACGGUUUUAGUUGAUGUGGAAGGCAUAUGUUUGUUGUCUUGAAGUAUGGAACACAUGGAUAAGAAGUCAACACACCUUGCAUGUUCAUUUAAGGAAGAAAAGUCAAAAUUGAAAUUGGACCUUGGUGGGCUAGGAGCUCACGGCCCAAGGGGGUUUCUCAAGUUAUUUUCACCUUUUAAUUUCAAUUGGUAGAUGAAUAUUGGUCACAUAAUUGAUAGAUGAAAAAGCAUGUUUAAUUAUCUCUUGUUUUGCAUUAAUUUGCAUAGUAGGAUUAAUUGCAUUUGAUUCCUCUAAUUUAGUGUUGCAUUUUAAUAGUCUUAAUUGUGUUUAGAUAAUUGUUUGUUGAAAUGUUGGGUUUAGCACUUUAUUUUACCUUGAUGUUUUCUAACUUACACAGUUGAGUUUAAUGUCCAUUCAUUUUAAUUUAGUUAUUCGUAUUCACAAAAACACUUUUCAACCCCCCCCCUUUCGUGUUAGACUUGACUCUGA
Molecule: long non-coding RNA, 1227 nt
Filed under: Vigna radiata
Lineage: Eukaryota; Viridiplantae; Streptophyta; Magnoliopsida; Fabales; Fabaceae
Description: long non-coding RNA (VRAD_LNC012073)
Source: RNAcentral